RNAcentral lists this ribosomal RNA (301 nucleotides) under uncultured bacterium. RNAcentral's name for it is "partial 16S ribosomal RNA". It matches the Rfam family "Bacterial small subunit ribosomal RNA", at positions 509 to 807 of the family's 1533-position model. The record is from RNAcentral.
CAGUAGCCGCGGUAACACGGAGGGUGCAAGCGUUAAUCGGAAUUACUGGGCGUAAAGCGCACGCAGGCGGUCUGUCAAGUCGGAUGUGAAAUCCCCGGGCUCAACCUGGGAACUGCAUUCGAAUCUGGCAGGCUAGAGUCUUGUAGAGGGGGGUAGAAUUCCAGGUGUAGCGGUGAAAUGCGUAGAGAUCUGGAGGAAUACCGGUGGCGAAGGCGGCCCCCUGGACAAAGACUGACGCUCAGGUGCGAAAGCGUGGGGAGCAAACAGGAUUAGAUACCCCUGUAGUCCCUGUCUCUUAUAC